Non-coding RNA from Ictidomys tridecemlineatus (thirteen-lined ground squirrel), 232 nucleotides. The record is from RefSeq and is a predicted model, not a curated record. NCBI's taxonomy places the organism in Eukaryota, Metazoa, Chordata, Mammalia, Rodentia, Sciuridae.
UUCUGCACGCGUGGACUCUCCACGCUGAGGACAUGGCAGAACUCAUGAUCAUCGGCGGGAAGGACAUCCAGGGGUCCUUGCAGUCCAUAGGAGAACAGUGAGGUCAUUUGGACGACUCUCCUGCACUGAGCUGAAGAACUCCAGUACAUCAGCACAGGUCCAAGUGCACUGGCUUUCCACUUCUGUCAAAGUCUCUGUAGAAGAGCUACAAAAUAAAAUACAGAAUAUUGUG